UACGGAGGAUGCGAGCGUUAUCCGGAUUUAUUGGGUUUAAAGGGUGCGCAGGCGGGAUUUUAAGUCAGCGGUGAAAUUUUCAGGCUCAACCUGAACACUGCCGUUGAAACUGGGAUUCUUGAGUAUGGAUGAAGUAGGCGGAAUUCGCUGUGUAGCGGUGACAUGCUUAGAUAUAACGAGGAACUCCGAUUGCGUAGGCAGCUUACUAAGCCAUAACUGACGCUCAAGCACGAAAGCGUGGGGAUCAAACAGG
RNAcentral lists this ribosomal RNA (253 nucleotides) under uncultured bacterium. RNAcentral's name for it is "partial 16S ribosomal RNA". It matches the Rfam family "Bacterial small subunit ribosomal RNA", at positions 524 to 776 of the family's 1533-position model. The record is from RNAcentral.